RNAcentral lists this ribosomal RNA (263 nucleotides) under uncultured bacterium. Its description in RNAcentral is "partial 16S ribosomal RNA". It matches the Rfam family "Bacterial small subunit ribosomal RNA", at positions 9 to 253 of the family's 1533-position model. The record is from RNAcentral.
GAGUUUGAUCGUGGCUCAGGAUGAACGCUGGCGGCGUGCUUAACACAUGCAAGUCGAACGGAGUGCUCAUGACGGAGUUUUCGGACAACUGAUUGAGUUACUUAGUGGCGGACGGGUGAGUAACGCGUGAGUAACCUGCCUUGGAGUGGGGAAUAACAGUCGGAAACGACUGCUAAUACCGCAUGAUGCAAAUGCCUCGCAUGGGGCUGUUUGCCAAAGAUUUAUCGCUCUGAGAUGGACUCGCGUCUGAUUAGCUAGUUGGU